AACACGAUCAACUCUAGUUAAGAGUUGGGAAUAAUGACCUUACAUAGUGAUGUGUUUGGUUUGAAUAAAUAGGUUGAUGAGUUCCCCAACACGGCUCAAUGUGUGCUAGCGAGACAGUCGUCCCGAUCUCACAUUUCGGCUGCGUUGCAGAGUUCUAUCCAACAACCUCUUACCUAUCAA
This 180-nucleotide unclassified non-coding RNA is filed under the name uncultured Rozellomycota. Its description in RNAcentral is "uncultured Cryptomycota sequence contains ITS2". Lineage: Eukaryota; Fungi; Rozellomycota. The record is from RNAcentral.